Molecule: non-coding RNA, 84 nt
Filed under: unclassified sequences
Description: freshwater-2 RNA
Rfam family: freshwater-2 RNA
About the family: Aquatic, esp. fresh water. No recognized genes
Source: RNAcentral
AGAACUCAUGAGAGGACUUAUGGAGCACCCACUCCGUAGCGACUAGAACUCGCAUUGGACUUCUUUAAAAGGAGAAAACAAAUG